GGCGCCAUCGUCUAGCCUGGUUAGGACGCAGGGUUUUCAACCCUGUAACACGGGUUCGAAUCCCGUUGGCGCUA
Molecule: transfer RNA, 74 nt
Filed under: bacterium
Lineage: Bacteria
Also listed under: 1 other name
Description: tRNA-Glu
Rfam family: tRNA
About the family: Transfer RNA (tRNA) molecules are approximately 80 nucleotides in length. Their secondary structure includes four short double-helical elements and three loops (D, anti-codon, and T loops).
Source: RNAcentral